CUAGUAUGUACAUCACUAACCAACAGGAAAUGGAGAAAGACCUUAAAUACAUCUACCAAAUAGGGUACCAACAUGGGUAUGAUACAUGUUCUUUGCAAAACAUUUAUCAUAGAAUGCAACAGCCUCAUGCACCUCAAUCAGAAGACAGGAGAAACCAAACUAAUCAAGGUUAUGUGCACAUACCUUAUGCAAUGAAGGAAUAUAACCUUACUAAGAAAUUGGAAAAAGGAUGCACAAAAAAUUAACAUAUAAAAGGCAACCAAUGGUCUUUAGUCAGCUUAGGAAUGAGAAAGAACCUAAAGAGAAUAUUCAAAAAUCAGGAGUCUAUAGAAUACCGGUCAGAAAUACUAAAACAGGAUAACAACAAGGACUUAAAUCAGAGACUAUAAGAACCUAAGAGGGACAUAGCUAAUGCUAAAUUGAACACAUCUCUAGCAAUGAG
RNAcentral lists this long non-coding RNA (442 nucleotides) under Androctonus crassicauda. Lineage: Eukaryota; Metazoa; Arthropoda; Arachnida; Scorpiones; Buthidae. The record is from RNAcentral.